UAGAAUUGACGGGGGCCCGCACAAGCGGUGGAGCAUGUGGUUAAUUCGAAGCAACGCGAAGAACCUUACCAGGUCUUGACAUCCCGAUGCUAUUUCUAGAGAUAGAAAGUUACUUCGGUACAUCGGUGACAGGUGGUGCAUGGUUGUCGUCAGCUCGUGUCGUGAGAUGUUGGGUUAAGUCCCGCAACGAGCGCAACCCCUAUUGUUAGUUGCCAUCAUUCAGUUGGGCACUCUAGCGAGACUGCCGGUAAUAAACCGGAGGAAGGUGGGGAUGACGUCAAAUCAUCAUGCCCCUUAUGACCUGGGCUACACACGUGCUACAAUGGUUGGUACAACGAGUUGCGAGUCGGUGACGGCGAGCUAAUCUCUUAAAGCCAAUCUCAGUUCGGAUUGUAGGCUGCAACUCGCCUACAUGAAGUCGGAAUCGCUAGUAAUCGCGGAUCAGCACGCCGCGGUGAAUACGUUCCCGGGCCUU
Molecule: ribosomal RNA, 475 nt
Filed under: uncultured Streptococcus sp.
Lineage: Bacteria; Bacillati; Bacillota; Bacilli; Lactobacillales; Streptococcaceae
Description: bacterial SSU rRNA
Rfam family: Bacterial small subunit ribosomal RNA
Source: RNAcentral